CCUACGGGGGGCAGCAGUGGGGAAUAUUGGACAAUGGGGGCAACCCUGAUCCAGCCAUGCCGCGUGUGUGAAGAAGGCCCUCGGGUUGUAAAGCACUUUCAGUGAGGAAGAACGCCUGGUGGUUAAUACCCAUCAGGAAAGACAUCACUCACAGAAGAAGCACCGGCUAACUCCGUGCCAGCAGCCGCGGUAAUACGGAGGGUGCGAGCGUUAAUCGGAAUUACUGGGCGUAAAGCGCGCGUAGGUGGCUUGAUAAGCCGGUUGUGAAAGCCCCGGGCUCAACCUGGGAACGGCAUCCGGAACUGUCAAGCUAGAGUGCAGGAGAGGAAGGUAGAAUUCCCGGUGUAGCGGUGAAAUGCGUAGAGAUCGGGAGGAAUACCAGUGGCGAAGGCGGCCUUCUGGACUGACACUGACUCUGAGGUGCGAAAGCGUGGGUAGCAAACAGGAUUAGAUACCCUUGUAGUC
Molecule: ribosomal RNA, 465 nt
Filed under: Vreelandella stevensii
Lineage: Bacteria; Pseudomonadati; Pseudomonadota; Gammaproteobacteria; Oceanospirillales; Halomonadaceae
Description: partial 16S ribosomal RNA
Rfam family: Bacterial small subunit ribosomal RNA
Source: RNAcentral